UACGGCAGCGUACACAUGCAGUCGAGCGCGAAAGCCCUUCGGGGUAAGUAGAGCGGCGGACGGGUGAGUAACGCGUGGGAAAUUGCCCAGUAGUGGGGGACAACAGCCGGAAACGGUUGCUAAUACCGCAUACGCCCUACGGGGGAAAGCGGGGGAUCUUCGGACCUCGUGCUAUUGGAUAUGCCCGCGUCGGAUUAGCUUGUUGGUGAGGUAACGGCUCACCAAGGCGACGAUCCGUAGCUGGUCUGAGAGGAUGAUCAGCCACACUGGGACUGAGACACGGCCCAGACUCCUACGGGAGGCAGCAGUGGGGAAUAUUGCACAAUGGGGGAAACCCUGAUGCAGCCAUGCCGCGUGUGUGAAGAAGGCCUUCGGGUUGUAAAGCACUUUCAGCAGGGAGGAAGGCUUGUAGAUUAAUACUCUGCAAGAUUGACGUUACCUGCAGAAGAAGCACCGGCUAACUCCGUGCCAGCAGCCGCGGUAAUACGGAGGGUGCGAGCGUUAAUCGGAAUUACUGGGCGUAAAGCGCGCGUAGGCGGUUAGUUAAGCUGGAUGUGAAAGCCCAGGGCUCAACCUUGGAACUGCAUUCAGAACUGGCUG
Molecule: ribosomal RNA, 600 nt
Filed under: Microbulbifer donghaiensis
Lineage: Bacteria; Pseudomonadati; Pseudomonadota; Gammaproteobacteria; Cellvibrionales; Microbulbiferaceae
Description: bacterial SSU rRNA
Rfam family: Bacterial small subunit ribosomal RNA
Source: RNAcentral